GAUGGGUGGCCGAGUGGUCGAAGGCACCAGUCUUGAAAACUGGCGUACGUUUGCGCGUACCGUGGGUUCGAAUCCCACUCCAUC
Molecule: transfer RNA, 84 nt
Filed under: uncultured Rubripirellula sp.
Lineage: Bacteria; Pseudomonadati; Planctomycetota; Planctomycetia; Pirellulales; Pirellulaceae
Rfam family: tRNA
About the family: Transfer RNA (tRNA) molecules are approximately 80 nucleotides in length.
Source: RNAcentral